RNAcentral lists this ribosomal RNA (453 nucleotides) under Davidiella sp. IP-2014. Its description in RNAcentral is "eukaryotic LSU rRNA". The stretch from base 127 to 280 matches the Rfam family "5.8S ribosomal RNA". The record is from RNAcentral. Lineage: Eukaryota; Fungi; Ascomycota; Dothideomycetes; Cladosporiales; Cladosporiaceae.
UCAUAACCCUUUGUUGUCCGACUCUGUUGCCUCCGGGGCGACCCUGCCUUCGGGCGGGGGCUCCGGGUGGACACUUCAAACUCUUGCGUAACUUUGCAGUCUGAGUAAACUUAAUUAAUAAAUUAAAACUUUUAACAACGGAUCUCUUGGUUCUGGCAUCGAUGAAGAACGCAGCGAAAUGCGACAAGUAAUGUGAAUUGCAGAAUUCAGUGAAUCAUCGAAUCUUUGAACGCACAUUGCGCCCCCUGGUAUUCCGGGGGGCAUGCCUGUUCGAGCGUCAUUUCACCACUCAAGCCUCGCUUGGUAUUGGGCAACGCGGUCCGCCGCGUGCCUCAAAUCGUCCGGCUGGGUCUUCUGUCCCCUAAGCGUUGUGGAAACUAUUCGCUAAAGGGUGUUCGGGAGGCUACGCCGUAAAACAACCCCAUUUCUAAGGUUGACCUCGGAUCAGGUAGG